This 546-nucleotide ribosomal RNA is filed under the name uncultured bacterium. Its description in RNAcentral is "bacterial SSU rRNA". It matches the Rfam family "Bacterial small subunit ribosomal RNA", at positions 355 to 895 of the family's 1533-position model. The record is from RNAcentral.
UGGGGAAUAUUGCGCAAUGGGGGGAACCCUGACGCAGCCAUGCCGCGUGAAUGAAGAAGGCCUUCGGGUUGUAAAGUUCUUUCGGUAUUGAGGAAGGUUGAUGUGUUAAUAGUACAUCAAAUUGACGUUAAAUACAGAAGAAGCACCGGCUAACUCCGUGCCAGCAGCCGCGGUAAUACGGAGGGUGCGAGCGUUAAUCGGAAUAACUGGGCGUAAAGGGCACGCAGGCGGUUAUUUAAGUGAGGUGUGAAAGCCCUGGGCUUAACCUGGGAAUUGCAUUUCAGACUGGGUAACUAGAGUACUUUAGGGAGGGGUAGAAUUCCACGUGUAGCGGUGAAAUGCGUAGAGAUGUGGAGGAAUACCGAAGGCGAAGGCAGCCCCUUGGGAAUGUACUGACGCUCAUGUGCGAAAGCGUGGGGAGCAAACAGGAUUAGAUACCCUGGUAGUCCACGCUGUAAACGCUGUCGAUUUGGGGGUUGGGGUUUAACUCUGGCGCCCGUAGCUAACGUGAUAAAUCGACCGCCUGGGGAGUACGGCCGCAAGGUU